This is a non-coding RNA of Arachis ipaensis, 428 nucleotides long. The record is from RefSeq and is a predicted model, not a curated record. Lineage: Eukaryota; Viridiplantae; Streptophyta; Magnoliopsida; Fabales; Fabaceae.
AGCAUCGGAGCAAAGAAGGUGAAGAAUGAAUGUAACGGAUUUGGUGAAUAUUGUGAAGUACAAAAUUAUGACGGAUGCUUCAGGACUUUCCAACAAAUCAAGCAAGAGUAUAUAACUUUGAAGAAGAAGCUUGAGACUUAUUUUCAGUUAUUGAAGGAAGCUGCUCAAAUCAAAUGAAAUAAUGUGGGUGCCGAAACCCUUACCCUUUAUUGAAGCUUUUUUUAUCCACCAAUAGUGUAUGUGUGUGUCUAGAGAGAGAGAAAGAGAGAGAGAAUAAAAGUUUUUAAAUGUAAGAGAGCCAUGAGUUAAGGUCGUUGUUAUUAUAAUAUUAUCUGAUUUUAUGUAAUUCAUAAUUCAUAAUUUAACUUAAAUUUCAUGCAACCACUGCCAACAGUACAGCAUAUAUGUACACUUAAUAAAUUAAAAGA